GUGCCAGCAGCCGCGGUAAUACGAAGGGAGCUAGCGUUGUUCGGAAUCACUGGGCGUAAAGCGCACGUAGGCGGAUGUGUCAGUCAGGGGUGAAAUCCCGGAGCUCAACUUCGGAACUGCCCUUGAUACAGCACGUCUUGAGUCCGAGAGAGGUGGAUGGAAUUCCUAGUGUAGAGGUGAAAUUCGUAGAUAUUAGGAAGAACACCGGUGGCGAAGGCGGUCCACUGGCUCGGUACUGACGCUGAGGUGCGAAAGCGUGGGGAGCAAACAGGAUUAGAAACCCUUGUAGUCC
This 292-nucleotide ribosomal RNA is filed under the name uncultured bacterium. RNAcentral's name for it is "partial 16S ribosomal RNA". It matches the Rfam family "Bacterial small subunit ribosomal RNA", at positions 505 to 796 of the family's 1533-position model. The record is from RNAcentral.